Molecule: long non-coding RNA, 539 nt
Filed under: Homo sapiens (human)
Lineage: Eukaryota; Metazoa; Chordata; Mammalia; Primates; Hominidae
Description: HSALNT0107743
Source: RNAcentral
GUGAAGGUAGGUGCAUAGCUUGAGCCCAGGAGUUGAAGACCAGCCUAGGCAACAUGGUGAAACCCCAUCUCUACAAAAUAUACAAAACUUAGCCAGGCAUGAUAGUGUGUGCCUGUGGUCGCAGCUACUUGAGAGGCUGAAGUGAGCAGAUCUCUUGAGCCUGGGAGGCAGAAGUUGCAGUAAGCCAAGGUCUGGCCACUGCACUCAAGCCUGGGAGACAGAGCGAUGAGACUCUCAUCUCAAAUGCUUGUGGAACCCUGACUGAUAGAGUUGGCUUAGCCACCUGACCUAAGGAUUCUUUCCCUAAGGAGAAGAGUGGGGAGGAAAAAUAGGGAAGAUAUUGCAUCUAUUCCAAGCAAAGUGUGGCAUGGGACCCAAAGAUCGAAAAUGUUUGGAAUUAACUUAUCCUGACAGUGGUUCCUAUUCUUUUCAAUUUCUGGAUCUACUCGUCUCUUUUAUUAUGUAGCCUAUCUCAUAUUCUUCCAUUGGAUCUAAAUUUCCAUGAGAAAUAAAAAUCAAUUUUUACGUGCUAAUUACAC